RNAcentral lists this ribosomal RNA (635 nucleotides) under uncultured Marinobacter sp. RNAcentral's name for it is "bacterial SSU rRNA". It matches the Rfam family "Bacterial small subunit ribosomal RNA", at positions 870 to 1504 of the family's 1533-position model. Lineage: Bacteria; Pseudomonadati; Pseudomonadota; Gammaproteobacteria; Pseudomonadales; Marinobacteraceae. The record is from RNAcentral.
CGCCUGGGGAGUACGGCCGCAAGGUUAAAACUCAAAUGAAUUGACGGGGGCCCGCACAAGCGGUGGAGCAUGUGGUUUAAUUCGACGCAACGCGAAGAACCUUACCUGGCCUUGACAUCCAGAGGGCUUUCCAGAGAUGGAUUGGUGCCUUCGGGAACUCUGAGACAGGUGCUGCAUGGCCGUCGUCGGCUCGUGUCGUGAGAUGUUGGGUUAAGUCCCGUAACGAGCGCAACCCCUAUCCCUGGUUGCUAGCAGGUAAUGCUGAGAACUCCAGGGAGACUGCCGGUGACAAACCGGAGGAAGGUGGGGAUGACGUCAGGUCAUCAUGGCCCUUACGGCCAGGGCUACACACGUGCUACAAUGGCGCGUACAGAGGGCUGCCAACUCGCGAGAGUGAGCCAAUCCCUUAAAACGCGUCGUAGUCCGGAUCGGAGUCUGCAACUCGACUCCGUGAAGUCGGAAUCGCUAGUAAUCGCGAAUCAGAAUGUCGCGGUGAAUACGUUCCCGGGCCUUGUACACACCGCCCGUCACACCAUGGGAGUGGAUUGCACCAGAAGUAGUUAGUCUAACCUUCGGGAGGACGAUUACCACGGUGUGGUUCAUGACUGGGGUGAAGUCGUAACAAGGUAACCGUA